AUGUGGCGUCGACGAAGCACUACACCUGGCUUGCUUGCCGGCGCGCGCGUGCGUGCUUCGAUGCGCGGCGCUUCAUCGAGCUGGCCGGACCGCGGAAAUCUUCGGAGCCAGAGCCGAAGGAGGCGACAAAAUGCUGCUGCUAUGGCUGCGUCCUCGGAGGCAGCAGCUGCCCCUUGCCGACCUCACCAACCUCCGACGUCCGCCAUGAGCUCCGCGCAGGACCCCUUCUACAUCGUCCGGGAGGAGAUCCAGGGCUGGAUCGGUAAGCUGCAGACUACGUUCUAUCGCUGGGAGCAAGUUUCUUCAAACAACGGAGAAUAUGUUCAUCUGACAAUAUCAUCGUUGGGAGCAAGUUUCUUCAAACCUGAUUACUUUGUCAUCAGGCUGGCUGAUUGCAUCCAACUCAAAGAGUUCCACAUUUCUAACUUGAGGGUUCCACUUGCACAUGAUGGCCCCACAACUCCUUAUGGCAAGCAGUUUCCUGCAGCUGACAACAAGGUAAGCAAACAUCAUGUUCAGUUCCUGGAGCGUAUAAAUGUGCUACUUUUCAUCUCUCAAAUGAGCCACGCACUUGGUAGUUGCUUUGUUCAUCCAAAAAUGUGA
RNAcentral lists this ribosomal RNA (603 nucleotides) under Triticum aestivum (bread wheat). RNAcentral describes it as "partial small subunit ribosomal RNA". Lineage: Eukaryota; Viridiplantae; Streptophyta; Magnoliopsida; Poales; Poaceae. The record is from RNAcentral.